RNAcentral lists this ribosomal RNA (743 nucleotides) under uncultured bacterium. Its description in RNAcentral is "bacterial SSU rRNA". It matches the Rfam family "Bacterial small subunit ribosomal RNA", at positions 43 to 780 of the family's 1533-position model. The record is from RNAcentral.
CGCGCGCUAUACAUGCAGUCGAGCGAGAAGGCGUCGCAAGACGCUUGUAAAGCGGCGAACGGGUGAGGAAUACAUGGGUAACCUACCCUUGAGUGGGGAAUAACCAGCCGAAAGGUUGGCUAAUACCGCAUACGAUUCUCGGACCGCGGUUCGGGAAAGAAAGCGCUAUCGUGGGUAGCGCGCUCUUGGAUGGGCUCAUGUCCUAUCAGCUUGUUGGUGAGGUAACGGCUCACCAAGGCUUCGACGGGUAGCUGGUCUGAGAGGACGAUCAGCCACACUGGCACUGCGACACGGGCCAGACUCCUACGGGAGGCAGCAGUAAGGAAUAUUGCGCAAUGGGCGAAAGCCUGACGCAGCGACGCCGCGUGGGGGAUGAAGGUCUUCGGAUUGUAAACCCCUUUCGGGAGGGAAGAUGGAGCGGGAAACCGUUCGGACGGUACCUCCAGAAGAAGCCACGGCUAACUUCGUGCCAGCAGCCGCGGUAAUACGAAGGUGGCAAGCGUUGUUCGGAUUUACUGGGCGUACAGGGUGCGUAGGCGGUUCGGUAAGCCCUCCGUGAAAGCUCUAGGCUUAACCUAGAAAGUGCGGAGGGGACUGCCGGGCUAAAGGACGGGAGAGGAGCGCGGAAUUCCCGGUGUAGCGGUGAAAUGCGUAGAGAUCGGGAGGAAAGGCCGGUGGCGAACGCGGCGCUCUGGAACGUUCCUGACGCUGAGGCACGAAAGCGUGGGGAGCAAACAGGAUUA